UACGUAGGGACCAAGCGUUGUCCGGAAUCAUUGGGCGUAAAGCGCGCGUAGGCGGCCCGGUAAGUCCGUUGUAAAAGUCGAAGGCUCAACCUUCGAAAGCCGAUGGAUACUGCCGGGCUAGAGUACGGAAGAGGCGAGUAGAAUUCCUGGUGUAGCGGUGGAAUGCGCAGAUAUCAGGAGGAAUACCCAUAGCGAAGGCAGCUCGCUGGGACGGUACUGACGCUGAGGCGCGAAAGCGUGGGGAGCAAACAGG
Molecule: ribosomal RNA, 253 nt
Filed under: uncultured bacterium
Lineage: Bacteria
Description: partial 16S ribosomal RNA
Rfam family: Bacterial small subunit ribosomal RNA
Source: RNAcentral